This 1126-nucleotide unclassified non-coding RNA is filed under the name Hevea brasiliensis (rubber tree). The record is from RNAcentral. Lineage: Eukaryota; Viridiplantae; Streptophyta; Magnoliopsida; Malpighiales; Euphorbiaceae.
UAUCUUGCAGAAAAUGAAAUAGAUACAUCUGAUUCUAACCAGGGAGAGGAUGCCCACAUUGUAAUGACAUGCAAAUGCACAAUUCCAUUCCAUGCAAAAUCAUUAAGGUCUCUACAAACUUUUUGUAAUUGUUGAGGAAACGUUUCAUCGCUAAAACUUUUCAUCUGGGAAAUUGAUCAAUGAUAACUUGAUGUUAAUUACUUCUUUCCUCCUGCUUUCAGAUAUUCAGUUCCAGCACUACAAAGCAGAGGAAGGAUGAUGAUCAACAACACCGGGCAGCCAAUUCCGAUAGAAUGAAACAGCAUCUAGCUCUGCUGGAGACAAGCCGCCAAGGGGUGUGACAGUAAUGUAUCCUUCUUGGAGAGAACAGUAGUCUGUAUCACCAUUCCCCACUAGAACUCUUGUAACUCGUCUCUUAAACAGUAGAUGAUCCAAUGCUGCAUUUUUUAAGGCUUUAGCAUGUGUACUCUCUGAUGAAUUCGUCUCCAUAGUCAUUGUGGACAAAACGUUUCCUCCUUCUCUAUCAGAAGUAACUUGCCUCCAUCCCAUUUUCACAAAACUUUUUCCUUGUCGGGUUAGACGGUAUCCCUUGUGAUUGACGACAUCUGUUGGCACAUCAAUAUUGAGAAAGCAAUUCUUGGGAUAGUGUUUUGUCUUGAUUUCAGCCAAUAUAGCACUGAUGAUGGGUAAGCAAGCCUUAGCAGCCAGUGUGAAGUCAUUAACAUUGCUUUUUCCACGAAUCCAAUUAUAUGAUACAGACACAGCAGGAAUACCAUUGAAGAAAGCCUCCCUAGCGCCAGCCACUGUACCCGAGUAUACUAUGUGAUAGCCGCAGUUGUCACCCAUGUUAACACCACUGAUAACCUGAAACUGCAAAUGCUGUUGCUCCGCUGAUGUCAACUUGCUUAACAGAAAGGGCAUUACGCCAAGUAAUGCUAUGACUAACAGCUGAGAGUCAGGAGCACAAACGAGGACGUGAAAGCGAUUGGUGGAAACAAGCAGACUAACUAGAGCUCUCAAUCCCGCCGCAUCGAUUCCAUCGUCGUUCGUCACUAACAUCGUCGGCCGAUCGCCGGCGACGAAAUUAGCCUCCAUUCAACUGAACCGAAUACUUCGGGAAGCGAAA